This 497-nucleotide ribosomal RNA is filed under the name uncultured bacterium. RNAcentral describes it as "partial 16S ribosomal RNA". It matches the Rfam family "Bacterial small subunit ribosomal RNA", at positions 28 to 507 of the family's 1533-position model. The record is from RNAcentral.
GAUGAACGCUGGCGGCGUGCCUAAUACAUGCAAGUCGAGCGAACGGACGAGAAGCUUGCUUCUCUGAUGUUAGCGGCGGACGGGUGAGUAACACGUGGAUAACCUACCUAUAAGACUGGGAUAACUUCGGGAAACCGGAGCUAAUACCGGAUAAUAUUUUGAACCGCAUGGUUCAAAAGUGAAAGACGGUCUUGCUGUCACUUAUAGAUGGAUCCGCGCUGCAUUAGCUAGUUGGUAAGGUAACGGCUUACCAAGGCAACGAUGCAUAGCCGACCUGAGAGGGUGAUCGGCCACACUGGAACUGAGCCACGGUCCAGACUCCUACGGGAGGCAGCAGUAGGGAAUCUUCCGCAAUGGGCGAAAGCCUGACGGAGCAACGCCGCGUGAGUGAUGAAGUUCUUCGGAUCGUAAAACUCUGUUAUUAGGGAAGAACAUAUGUGUAAGUAACUGUGCACAUCUUGACGGUACCUAAUCAGAAAGCCACGGCUAACUACGUG